Molecule: ribosomal RNA, 484 nt
Filed under: uncultured Gammaproteobacteria bacterium
Lineage: Bacteria; Pseudomonadati; Pseudomonadota; Gammaproteobacteria
Description: bacterial SSU rRNA
Rfam family: Bacterial small subunit ribosomal RNA
Source: RNAcentral
AUUGAACGCUGGCGGCAUGCCUAACACAUGCAAGUCGAACGUGAAAGUUCCUUCGGGAGCGAGUAAAGUGGCGGACGGGUGAGUAAUGCAUAGGAAUCUGCCCUGCAGUGGGGGAUAACCUGGAGAAAUCCAGGCUAAUACCGCAUACGUCUUACGAGAGAAAGCAGGCCUCUUCUUGAAAGCUUGUACUGCAGGAUGAGCCUAUGUCGGAUUAGCUAGUUGGUGGGGUAAAGGCCUACCAAGGCGACGAUCCGUAGCUGGUCUGAGAGGAUGAUCAGCCACACUGGGACUGAGACACGGCCCAGACUCCUACGGGAGGCAGCAGUGGGGAAUAUUGGACAAUGGGCGAAAGCCUGAUCCAGCAAUGCCGCGUGUGUGAAGAAGGCCUGCGGGUUGUAAAGCACUUUCAGUAGGGAGGAUGGUUCCUAAGGUUAAUACCCUUGAGAGCUGACGUUACCUACAGAAGAAGCACCGGCUAACUCCG